RNAcentral lists this transfer RNA (85 nucleotides) under Gemmatimonadales bacterium. Its description in RNAcentral is "tRNA-Leu". It matches the Rfam family "tRNA". From Rfam's summary of the family: Transfer RNA (tRNA) molecules are approximately 80 nucleotides in length. Their secondary structure includes four short double-helical elements and three loops (D, anti-codon, and T loops). Lineage: Bacteria; Pseudomonadati; Gemmatimonadota; Gemmatimonadia; Gemmatimonadales. The record is from RNAcentral.
GCCGGGGUGGCGAAAUGGUAGACGCAGGGGACUUAAAAUCCUCUGGGGCUAACGCCCCGUGUGGGUUCGAAUCCCACCCCCGGCA